UUUCCGUAGGUGAACCUGCGGAAGGAUCAUUAUCGUAUAAAAUGGAGGUGCUGGGGCUGUCGCUGACCUUUGAAAAAGGUCGUGCACGCCCGGAGCACUCUCUCAUAUCCAUCUCACCCCUUUGUGCAUUGCCGCGUGGGUCCCCUUUUGGCUUGUUCCGAGGGGGACCUGCGUUUUUACAUAGACACCCUUUGAAUGCAUGUGUAGAACGUCUUACUUUUUGCGAUCACACGCAAUCAAUACAACUUUCAACAACGGAUCUCUUGGCUCUC
Molecule: unclassified non-coding RNA, 272 nt
Filed under: plant metagenome
Description: partial contains small subunit ribosomal RNA, internal transcribed spacer 1, and 5.8S ribosomal RNA
Source: RNAcentral